AUGGGGGAUAACGUAGCGAAAGUUACGCUAAUACCGCAUAUGCCCKGAGGGGGAAAGUGGGGGACCWGUAAUGRCCUCUCGUUUUCGGAGCGGCCGAUAUCAGAUUAGCUAGUUGGUGGGGUAAAGGCCUACCAAGGCGACGAUCUGUAGCUGGUCUGAGAGGACGACCAGCCACACUGGGACUGAGACACGGCCCAGACUCCUACGGGAGGCAGCAGUGGGGAAUUUUGGACAAUGGGCGCAAGCCUGAUCCAGCCAUGCCGCGUGAGUGAAGAAGGCCUUCGGGUUGUAAAGCUCUUUCAGCCGGAAAGAAAACGCAUGGGUUAACACCCUGUGUGGAUGACGGUACCGGAAGAAGAAGCACCGGCUAACUACGUGCCAGCAGCCGCGGUAAUACGUAGGGUGCGAGCGUUAAUCGGAAUUACUGGGCGUAAAGCGUGCGCAGGCGGUUUCGUAAGACAGAUGUGAAAUCCCCGGGCUUAACUUGGGAACUGCAUUUGUGACUGCGAGACUAGAGUACGGCAGAGGGGGGUAGAAUUCCA
This 542-nucleotide ribosomal RNA is filed under the name uncultured bacterium. RNAcentral describes it as "bacterial SSU rRNA". It matches the Rfam family "Bacterial small subunit ribosomal RNA", at positions 136 to 671 of the family's 1533-position model. The record is from RNAcentral.